ACAUCUUCGGAUGUGGAGCGUACACAGGUGGCUGCAUGGCUGCGUCAGCUCGUGUCGUGAGAUGUUGGGUUAAGCCCGCAACGAGCGCAACCCUGCAUUCAGUUGCCAUCGGUGAGGCCGGGCACUCUGGAUGGACUGCCGGCGACAAGCCGGAGGAAGUGGGGACGACGUCAAGUCAUCAUGGCCCUUAUGUCCAGGGCGACACACGUGCUACAAUGGCCGGCACAGCGGGAAGCGAAGGGGCGACUCUGAGCGGAUCCCUUGAAGCCGGUCCCAGUUCGGAUUGCAGUCUGCAACUCGACUGCAUGAAGUUGGAAUCGCUAGUAAUCGUGGAUCAGCCAAGCCGCGGUGAAUACGUUCCCGGGCCUU
This 369-nucleotide ribosomal RNA is filed under the name uncultured Thermovirga sp. RNAcentral describes it as "bacterial SSU rRNA". It matches the Rfam family "Bacterial small subunit ribosomal RNA", at positions 1011 to 1382 of the family's 1533-position model. Lineage: Bacteria; Thermotogati; Synergistota; Synergistia; Synergistales; Thermovirgaceae. The record is from RNAcentral.